GCAAAAAAAGGAAAAAUUAAAAAGAAUUUCAGCCCCACCCUCGAAGAGAACGCCUCCCUCCCCAGCGAACGACCAGAGAGGCCCCCUUCGCGAGCGCGACAGCUAGGGUUCCUAGCCGCCGCCGGCCCGCCACCACUACCGCCGGCCCUCCGCCGCGGCGCGCCCAGCCGGCCGAAGCCUCCGCCGCCCCGCUGCCGGCACAGGAGCCCAGCAGUGCCUUCCUCCGUCGAGCAGGGCCACCCUCCCUGGAGCAGCCGCUCCCGCCCGGACCUACGCCGGCGACCAGUCCAUAGGCAGGAUUUAGUGUGUUGCUGUUAAUAGGGAAGUUUCCUCUCAAGAGAGGAAGAGAUAAGUGAUCUUAUCAAUAAACCUGAACCAGGGACAUUAAUGCACGCUGAGCUUCCUGCUCAUCUUUUGUGCAUCUUAGCCACCCGUCAUUUCUGAUGAAGUUAAGAGGAUCGAGAGUAAAGCAGGCCGACUCUGGUUCACCAGGGACUUUCAGUGCGCCUGUUAGGAAGAAAAGAGGGACAAGAGCACCUCCAUCUUCUAGAUGUUUACGUGGUAAAAAGGAUGAUAAUGAUAAUGUCAUGAGCAGUGAUGACGCUAUUACAGAAGAAGGCCAUGCUGCCUCCCCUUCAAGCAGGAAGGCAAAAGAACAAAAUCACGGAGAGAUAGCUGUUGGAAGCUCAGCUGAUCCCACAGGCCAGAGUGUCUCUGUAAAUGAAGCACGUGAAAACUCGAGGGCAUUGAAAAAUACUUCUAAUGUGCAAACAACUACUGUUAAGAAGACUACUGCUGAGGAUAAAACUUCUCGAGCAAUCAUGGAUGAUGUUUUUAAUGCAGAAAUGGAUUCCACGUCUUCAGAUGAUGAGAGUGCCGAAGAAGUUGAGGAUGUGAAAGUUUGUGACAUAUGUGGAGAUGUUGGUGAUGAGGUGAAGCUCGCUGUUUGCAAUAGAUGCAACGAUGGUGCUGAGCAUACUUAUUGUAUGCGGGACAUGAUGGAAAAGGUUCCGGAUGGUGAGUGGUUUUGUGAAGAGUGCCAAACUGAAGUAGAAUAUGAAAAGGAGAAGUUAGAAAAACCUCAGGUGAAGCUUGUCACUUCAAAGGAAGAGUCUGUUCAAGGGAAAAUCAGUAAACCUUACAAUGAUGCAAACAGCAGAAGUCCUUGUGAGAAUGAAGUGGAAGAUGAAACUGUUGGCAGAAAAGAACGGAAUGAAGCAAAUCAAGGCAUUGAUAUGGUUGAAGAUGCAAAGAUUCCUCCUGUGGCUAAACAAAAUAUUCCUGAACCUGGUGGUUUAUCAAUGGAGUCUUACUCCAGAAAAGGAAUACCUCUGCCACGUGAGAGCUCAUUCAGGUUGGAUAUAGAGAAAGGAAAGCAACCUACUCCCCAAGUGCCAAUCUUACUGGGGUCUAAUGCUAGCAAGAAUCAGGCACCACCACUUACCGGUCAACUCUCCAAGUCCACUUCUUUCAACAGCUCUAAGGUGCCCAAGGUGAAGCAACUAGUGAAUGAAGUUCCUCAGAAGACCAAAACUUUGAAGGAUCAGUUGUCCUGUAGUAUGAGAAAAGAGGGGCCAACGAGCUUUUCAACUAAGUCAGCAUCAUUCAAAAAGCCCAAAACUUGUGAGCCUGCAAAUAAGGCAAAGUCUUCCAUCAUUCCACCUGCUGAGGAGCUAAGUGUGAUGAAUUUACCAGUGAGCCGAAAUGUAAGUAAUGAUAGAGGCACUUCUAUAUUAGGAUGCCCCUCAAUUACUGGACCACUGGCUUUUCCAGUUCAAUCAAAAGCAGAAUCUGCAGCUCAGCGCCUCACUACAGGAAGCAACAUGUCUGCCUCUAGCAAUUCAGGCCAUUUUACCCAAUUUUGUGGUGUUGAUAAAUUAGGUUUGUCUGCAAUGAAACCUCUGAGUGAGCGAAACUUGAAGGAUGCCUCUGCCAAAAGGAAUAAAAUGUCUGAAGCUACUGAGAAAGCUACUUCCAGAUUAGCAGAUCAAUCUGAUCGCAUCCUCAAAUGUGGUCCUUAUCAUGACCCAGUAUACAGGCCUAAAGAUAUGUCAUCUGGAAGAUCUGUUCCCAGCAGUUCUACUAUAUCAAGUGAUCCGAUGGACAAAUCGAGUCGAGGCUUUUCACCUGUUGAUAAAACAAUAGUUUCAACUGUUCCAGAGUUGGAUUAUAUUUGGCAGGGUGAUUUUGAGCUGUGGAGGACUGGAAGAUCACCUGAGCUAUGUGAUGGUUUUCAAGCUCACUUAUCAUGUUCUGCUUCACCAAAAGUGCUGGAAGUAGCAAAGAAAUUCCCUUCCAGAGUCCAGCUUGAAGAACUGCCUCGUCGAAACUCAUGGCCCACACAGUUUCAACAAAAUGGACCCACAUAUGAGAAUAUUGGUGUUUUCUUCUUUGCUAGAGAUGCUCAGAGCUAUGAACAUCAUUACAGUAAAUUGGUUCAGAAUAUGCUAAUCAAUGAUUUGGCACUCAGAGGAAAUAUCGAAACAGCCGAAUUAAUUAUAUUCCCUUCUAACAUCCUAUCAAAGAACUCUCAAAGAUGGAACAUGUUUUAUUUCCUAUGGGGUGUGUUUAAAGUGAAAAGAGAAGAUCACUGGAACCUUCCACUUGAUGUACCAAUAAGUAAAUGUGAAACUGAUUUGAAUGAGGAUCCCCUGACCGUGGAUCCGCAUACCUCUGUUUUGUCCUCUAGCCGUUCAUUGUCUGAAGACCAAAAUAAUGGCGCUGAUCCAGCCUGCUAUUUGGUCAAGUCAGCUACUUCUGCAGAACAUCAAUGUCUGCAAACUUCGGAAGCUAAUCGUCAGGGAUGUUCAAAUGGAGAUAACUCUUCGGUCCAGGCUGUCGGUGGAAGAGAUUUGGAAGAUCACUGUCAUGAUUCAAGUAUGACAUGUUGUUUAACAAAUAACAGGAGGGCAAACAAUGAUUUUUCCACUGCUCCGGCAGGAAAACAGAAGAUAAUUGCAUAUCCAGACUCUCAAAAGAAAAUGUGUGAUGGUGGCAAUGUUGUCGAACCCAUUUUUGAUGUAAAUACGAUGCCAGUUAAUUGCUCUAUCUCAUCAAUCCACAAACAAGAUAAUCAGAACCGAGCCAUCAACCUUAACAAUGCAGAGAGCCUGAUGGAUGUAGAUCAUGCAAAUAAUAUUGAACUGAACUCAGGUACAGUGGAUCUUGCUUCACAUGCAUCACGUAGUGCACAAAAAAGAAAUGUGGACAUGGCAAACUGGAUUGACGGAGCCAAUGGAUCAGUAGACAAGAAAAUUAAAUUGGAUAAUGUAUCAUCCACUGUGGAGUCUAGUUUAAGUGGGAAGAUCAGAGAUGGAAGGUUGUCAUCCAAGGUACACCCUCUAGCAGCUUUACCUGUUCAUGAUUGCACUGACAAUAAGAGCAUGGCAGGAAUCUCGAAGAGUAAUGGAAAGUGCACAUUUCCGCUAGAUCUAAACGUGGUGGAUGAUGCAGAUAUAGACAUGGCGGAUGAUGCAGCGAUUGGAAAUAGCAUAACCGUUCAGUCUGAAGAUUUACCUGAACAGAACACACAAGAUCUUAAGCCAGCACUGGGGGACAACAUAUCUUCUAGAAAGCCCGUGGUUGAAGAAAAGUUGAAUAAAGGAGAUACACCGCCUACUGAUAUGUCAGGCGCGCUCUCCCUCUCCCUUGCUUUUCCAGCAUCAAAGGAACAAUAGGCUGGUAAAAUGCAUCCGGAAUCGCAAAGAAGCCUGAGAUGAGCAGUAGGAAUAAACCGUCUUUGAUUAUCCAGUGAUGAUGGCUCCUUGCUUUUGCAUUCCUGAUGUCUUGCGUGAUGGAUCUUUGUAGCAUCAACCCACUGCGCAAGGAGUCUGCCAAGGAGUCUGCCGAAGACACAUCUUGUCAAUGUGCAAACAGAUGGCAUCUUUUAGAGUGCAUUUUGAUGACUUUAUAUGCUCCCGGCGGCACACCCAUCUUGAGUAUUGAACUGCGAAGAACUUGAGAAUGUGGAUCAUGGCUUGUGUUGGUACAUAUAAAAUAUAUUCAGCUGCUUUUCCAAACAUCGUUUGAGAUUUGAGCAGAGCUUUUAGACUGCAUUUGAAGUACCAUCCAGUCUCUGCAUUUUAAAUAAAUCUCAUGUCAGAUUUUGUCUUUACCUGUCAACAGUGCGAUAUAUUGUGGGGGAAUGGCGGUGUAAACGCCUAAAAUUGGCACAUAUAUGUUACGUACCUUUUCUGUUGCCUUAAAAUUGUCUCUGGGAUAUCUUAAUAUACUGAUAAAAUCACUAGUUGAGGGAUACCCAUUGCAAAAGAUUACUCCCAAACUUGAGUCACUUAUUUUGGGACGGAGGGAGACCUUCUCCAUUCUGGUAAAUUAAAAACAACUGCUAAAAAG
This 4353-nucleotide ribosomal RNA is filed under the name Triticum aestivum (bread wheat). Its description in RNAcentral is "partial small subunit ribosomal RNA". Lineage: Eukaryota; Viridiplantae; Streptophyta; Magnoliopsida; Poales; Poaceae. The record is from RNAcentral.